RNAcentral lists this ribosomal RNA (759 nucleotides) under uncultured bacterium. Its description in RNAcentral is "bacterial SSU rRNA". It matches the Rfam family "Bacterial small subunit ribosomal RNA", at positions 28 to 776 of the family's 1533-position model. The record is from RNAcentral.
GAUGAACGCUAGCGGCAGGCUUAACACAUGCAAGUCGAGGGGUAACAGGAUUUAGUUUACUAGAUUGCUGACGACCGGCGCACGGGUGAGUAACGCGUAUACAAUUUGCCUUUUACUGAAGAAUAGCCCAGAGAAAUUUGGAUUAAUGCUUCAUGGUAUUAUUUGGUCACCUGACCGAGUAAUUAAAGUUCCGGCGGUAAAAGAUGAGUAUGCGUCCUAUUAGCUAGAUGGUAAGGUAACGGCUUACCAUGGCGACGAUAGGUAGGGGUCCUGAGAGGGAGAUCCCCCACACUGGUACUGAGACACGGACCAGACUCCUACGGGAGGCAGCAGUGAGGAAUAUUGGGCAAUGGAGGCAACUCUGACCCAGCCAUGCCGCGUGCAGGGAGACUGCCCUAUGGGUUGUAAACUGCUUUUAUACAGGAAGAAACUUAUCCACGUGUGGGUAACUGACGGUACUGUAAGAAUAAGGACCGGCUAACUCCGUGCCAGCAGCCGCGGUAAUACGGAGGGUCCAAGCGUUAUCCGGAAUCAUUGGGUUUAAAGGGUCCGUAGGCGGGCAAUUAAGUCAGAGGUGAAAUCCCACAGCUCAACUGUGGAACUGCCUUUGAUACUGGGUUGUCUUGAGUUAUAGUGAAGUAGAUAGAAUAUGUAGUGUAGCGGUGAAAUUGCAUAGAUAUUACAUAGAAUACCGAUUGCGAAGGCAGUCUACUAACUGUACACUGACGCUAAUGGACGAAAGCGUGGGGAGCGAACAGG